AUCGGUGACAGGUGGUGCAUGGUUGUCGUCAGCUCGUGUCGUGAGAUGUUGGGUUAAGUCCCGCAACGAGCGCAACCCCUAUUGUUAGUUGCCAUCAUUCAGUUGGGCACUCUAGCGAGACUGCCGGUAAUAAACCGGAGGAAGUGGGAUGACGCCAAUCAUCAUGCCCCUUAUGACCUGGGCUACACACGUGCUACAAUGGUUGGUACAACGAGUUGCGAGUCGGUGACGGCGAGCUAAUCUCUUAAAGCCAAUCUCAGUUCGGAUUGUAGGCUGCAACUCGCCUACAUGAAGUCGGAAUCGCUAGUAAUCGCGGAUCAGCACGCCGCGGUGAAUACGUUCCCGGGCCUU
This 351-nucleotide ribosomal RNA is filed under the name uncultured Streptococcus sp. RNAcentral's name for it is "bacterial SSU rRNA". It matches the Rfam family "Bacterial small subunit ribosomal RNA", at positions 1027 to 1382 of the family's 1533-position model. Lineage: Bacteria; Bacillati; Bacillota; Bacilli; Lactobacillales; Streptococcaceae. The record is from RNAcentral.